UUAAGCGACUAAGCGUACACGGUGGAUGCCCUGGCAGUCAGAGGCGAUGAAGGACGUGCUAAUCUGCGAUAAGCGUCGGUAAGGUGAUAUGAACCGUUAUAACCGGCGAUUUCCGAAUGGGGAAACCCAGUGUGUUUCGACACACUAUCAUUAACUGAAUCCAUAGGUUAAUGAGGCGAACCGGGGGAACUGAAACAUCUAAGUACCCCGAGGAAAAGAAAUCAACCGAGAUUCCCCCAGUAGCGGCGAGCGAACGGGGAGCAGCCCAGAGCCUGAAUCAGUGUGUGUGUUAGUGGAAGCGUCUGGAAAGGCGCGCGAUACAGGGUGACAGCCCCGUACACAAAAAUGCACAUGCUGUGAGCUCGAUGAGUAGGGCGGGACACGUGGUAUCCUGUCUGAAUAUGGGGGGACCAUCCUCCAAGGCUAAAUACUCCUGACUGACCGAUAGUGAACCAGUACCGUGAGGGAAAGGCGAAAAGAACCCCGGCGAGGGGAGUGAAAAAGAACCUGAAACCGUGUACGUACAAGCAGUGGGAGCACGCUUAGGCGUGUGACUGCGUACCUUUUGUAUAAUGGGUCAGCGACUUAUAUUCUGUAGCAAGGUUAACCGAAUAGGGGAGCCGAAGGGAAACCGAGUCUUAACUGGGCGUUAAGUUGCAGGGUAUAGACCCGAAACCCGGUGAUCUAGCCAUGGGCAGGUUGAAGGUUGGGUAACACUAACUGGAGGACCGAACCGACUAAUGUUGAAAAAUUAGCGGAUGACUUGUGGCUGGGGGUGAAAGGCCAAUCAAACCGGGAGAUAGCUGGUUCUCCCCGAAAGCUAUUUAGGUAGCGCCUCGUGAAUUCAUCUCCGGGGGUAGAGCACUGUUUCGGCAAGGGGGUCAUCCCGACUUACCAACCCGAUGCAAACUGCGAAUACCGGAGAAUGUUAUCACGGGAGACACACGGCGGGUGCUAACGUCCGUCGUGAAGAGGGAAACAACCCAGACCGCCAGCUAAGGUCCCAAAGUCAUGGUUAAGUGGGAAACGAUGUGGGAAGGCCCAGACAGCCAGGAUGUUGGCUUAGAAGCAGCCAUCAUUUAAAGAAAGCGUAAUAGCUCACUGGUCGAGUCGGCCUGCGCGGAAGAUGUAACGGGGCUAAACCAUGCACCGAAGCUGCGGCAGCGACGCUGAUGCGUUGUUGGGUAGGGGAGCGUUCUGUAAGCCUGCGAAGGUGUGCUGUGAGGCAUGCUGGAGGUAUCAGAAGUGCGAAUGCUGACAUAAGUAACGAUAAAGCGGGUGAAAAGCCCGCUCGCCGGAAGACCAAGGGUUCCUGUCCAACGUUAAUCGGGGCAGGGUGAGUCGACCCCUAAGGCGAGGCCGAAAGGCGUAGUCGAUGGGAAACAGGUUAAUAUUCCUGUACUUGGUGUUACUGCGAAGGGGGGACGGAGAAGGCUAUGUUGGCCGGGCGACGGUUGUCCCGGUUUAAGCGUGUAGGCUGGUUUUCCAGGCAAAUCCGGAAAAUCAAGGCUGAGGCGUGAUGACGAGGCACUACGGUGCUGAAGCAACAAAUGCCCUGCUUCCAGGAAAAGCCUCUAAGCAUCAGGUAACAUCAAAUCGUACCCCAAACCGACACAGGUGGUCAGGUAGAGAAUACCAAGGCGCUUGAGAGAACUCGGGUGAAGGAACUAGGCAAAAUGGUGCCGUAACUUCGGGAGAAGGCACGCUGAUAUGUAGGUGAAGUCCCUCGCGGAUGGAGCUGAAAUCAGUCGAAGAUACCAGCUGGCUGCAACUGUUUAUUAAAAACACAGCACUGUGCAAACACGAAAGUGGACGUAUACGGUGUGACGCCUGCCCGGUGCCGGAAGGUUAAUUGAUGGGGUUAGCGCAAGCGAAGCUCUUGAUCGAAGCCCCGGUAAACGGCGGCCGUAACUAUAACGGUCCUAAGGUAGCGAAAUUCCUUGUCGGGUAAGUUCCGACCUGCACGAAUGGCGUAAUGAUGGCCAGGCUGUCUCCACCCGAGACUCAGUGAAAUUGAACUCGCUGUGAAGAUGCAGUGUACCCGCGGCAAGACGGAAAGACCCCGUGAACCUUUACUAUAGCUUGACACUGAACAUUGAGCCUUGAUGUGUAGGAUAGGUGGGAGGCUUAGAAGUGUGGACGCCAGUCUGCAUGGAGCCGACCUUGAAAUACCACCCUUUAAUGUUUGAUGUUCUAACGUUGACCCGUAAUCCGGGUUGCGGACAGUGUCUGGUGGGUAGUUUGACUGGGGCGGUCUCCUCCUAAAGAGUAACGGAGGAGCACGAAGGUUGGCUAAUCCUGGUCGGACAUCAGGAGGUUAGUGCAAUGGCAUAAGCCAGCUUGACUGCGAGCGUGACGGCGCGAGCAGGUGCGAAAGCAGGUCAUAGUGAUCCGGUGGUUCUGAAUGGAAGGGCCAUCGCUCAACGGAUAAAAGGUACUCCGGGGAUAACAGGCUGAUACCGCCCAAGAGUUCAUAUCGACGGCGGUGUUUGGCACCUCGAUGUCGGCUCAUCACAUCCUGGGGCUGAAGUAGGUCCCAAGGGUAUGGCUGUUCGCCAUUUAAAGUGGUACGCGAGCUGGGUUUAGAACGUCGUGAGACAGUUCGGUCCCUAUCUGCCGUGGGCGCUGGAGAACUGAGGGGGGCUGCUCCUAGUACGAGAGGACCGGAGUGGACGCAUCACUGGUGUUCGGGUUGUCAUGCCAAUGGCACUGCCCGGUAGCUAAAUGCGGAAGAGAUAAGUGCUGAAAGCAUCUAAGCACGAAACUUGCCCCGAGAUGAGUUCUCCCUGACCCUUUAAGGGUCCUGAAGGAACGUUGAAGACGACGACGUUGAUAGGCCGGGUGUGUAAGCGCAGCGAUGCGUUGAGCUAACCGGUACUAAUGAACCGUGAGGCUUAACCUU
This 2902-nucleotide ribosomal RNA is filed under the name Escherichia coli. Its description in RNAcentral is "bacterial LSU rRNA". It matches the Rfam family "Bacterial large subunit ribosomal RNA". Lineage: Bacteria; Pseudomonadati; Pseudomonadota; Gammaproteobacteria; Enterobacterales; Enterobacteriaceae. The record is from RNAcentral. RNAcentral also lists the same sequence under 2 other names.